Regulatory RNA element from Eubacterium sp., 94 nucleotides. It matches the Rfam family "pemK RNA". The record is from Rfam. NCBI's taxonomy places the organism in Bacteria, Bacillati, Bacillota, Clostridia, Eubacteriales, Eubacteriaceae.
ACAAUGAUACUUCAAUUUAGUCACAGCCCUGCAGGGAUGCGGGAUCACGCAAUGAGAAUUGCUUCGGGGGACCGGAGGGGUUAGAGACCCAUGA